RNAcentral lists this small nuclear RNA (106 nucleotides) under Cervus elaphus hippelaphus. It matches the Rfam family "U1 spliceosomal RNA", at positions 1 to 108 of the family's 166-position model. From Rfam's summary of the family: U1 is a small nuclear RNA (snRNA) component of the spliceosome (involved in pre-mRNA splicing). Its 5' end forms complementary base pairs with the 5' splice junction, thus defining the 5' donor site of an intron. There are significant differences in sequence and secondary structure between metazoan and yeast U1 snRNAs, the latter being much longer (568 nucleotides as compared to 164 nucleotides in human). Lineage: Eukaryota; Metazoa; Chordata; Mammalia; Artiodactyla; Cervidae. The record is from RNAcentral.
AUACUUACCUGGCAGGGGAGAUACCAUGAUCACAAAGGUGGUUUUCCCAGGGCGAGGCUUAUCCAUUGCACUCCAGAUGUGCUGACCCCUGCGAUUUCCCCAAAUG